AAGUAGGGGACGAGCGUUGUCCGGAAUUACUGAGCGUAAAGGGCGCGCAGGCUGUUUGACAAGUCAGCUGUUAAAUAUGGGGGCUUAACCAUUAUAUGCGGUUGAAACUAUCAGACUGGAGUGCUGUAGAGGCAAGUGGAAUUCCCAGUGUAGCGGUGAUAUGCGUAGAUAUUGGGAAGAACACCGGUGGCGAAGGCGACUUGCUGGGAAGCAACUGACGCUGAGGCGCGAAAUCCAGGGGAACAUACGU
Molecule: ribosomal RNA, 250 nt
Filed under: uncultured prokaryote
Description: partial 16S rRNA
Rfam family: Bacterial small subunit ribosomal RNA
Source: RNAcentral